RNAcentral lists this ribosomal RNA (390 nucleotides) under uncultured bacterium. RNAcentral's name for it is "bacterial SSU rRNA". It matches the Rfam family "Bacterial small subunit ribosomal RNA", at positions 795 to 1178 of the family's 1533-position model. The record is from RNAcentral.
CCACGCCCUAAACGAUGGGUACUAAGUGUGGAGGGGUUAAACCCUCCGUGCCGCAGCAAACGCAGUAAGUACCCCGCCUGGGGAGUACGGUCCGCAAGGUUAAAACUCAAAGGAAUUGAACGGGGGCCCGCACAAGCGGUGGUGCAUGUGGUUUAAUUCGACGCAACGCGAGGAACCUUACCUAGGCUUGACAUGUGGUGAGUAGCGAACCGAAAGGGGAGUCGACCCGUCAAAUCGGGCCAUCACACAGGUGCUGCAUGGCUGUCGUCAGCUCGUGCCGUGAGGUGUUGGGUUCAGUCCCGCAACGAGCGCAACCCUCGCCCUUGUUGCCAUCGGGUAAAGCCGGGCACUCUAAGGGAACUGCCAGCGACAAGUUGGAGGAAGGAGAGG